RNAcentral lists this ribosomal RNA (468 nucleotides) under uncultured bacterium. Its description in RNAcentral is "partial 16S ribosomal RNA". It matches the Rfam family "Bacterial small subunit ribosomal RNA", at positions 28 to 507 of the family's 1533-position model. The record is from RNAcentral.
GACGAACGCUGGCGGCGUGCUUAACACAUGCAAGUCGAACGGAAAGGCCCUGCUUUUGUGGGGUGCUCGAGUGGCGAACGGGUGAGUAACACGUGAGUAACCUGCCCUUGACUUUGGGAUAACUUCAGGAAACUGGGGCUAAUACCGGAUAGGAGCUCCUGCUGCAUGGUGGGGGUUGGAAAGUUUCGGCGGUUGGGGAUGGACUCGCGGCUUAUCAGCUUGUUGGUGGGGUAGUGGCUUACCAAGGCUUUGACGGGUAGCCGGCCUGAGAGGGUGACCGGCGACAUUGGGACUGAGAGAGGGCCCAGACUCCUACGGGAGGCAGCAGUGGGGAAUAUUGCACAAUGGGCGGAAGCCUGAUGCAGCAACGCCGCGUGCGGGAUGACGGCCUUCGGGUUGUAAACCGCUUUCGCCUGUGACGAAGCGUGAGUGACGGUAAUGGGUAAAGAAGCACCGGCUAACUACGUG